This 497-nucleotide ribosomal RNA is filed under the name uncultured bacterium. RNAcentral's name for it is "partial 16S ribosomal RNA". It matches the Rfam family "Bacterial small subunit ribosomal RNA", at positions 28 to 507 of the family's 1533-position model. The record is from RNAcentral.
GAUGAACGCUGGCGGCGUGCCUAAUACAUGCAAGUCGAGCGAACGGACGAGAAGCUUGCUUCUCUGAUGUUAGCGGCGGACGGGUGAGUAACACGUGGAUAACCUACCUAUAAGACUGGGAUAACUUCGGAAAACCGGAGCUAAUACCGGAUAAUAUUUUGAACCGCAUGGUUCAAAAGUGAAAGACGGUCCUGCUGUCACUUAUAGAUGGAUCCGCGCUGCAUUAGCUAGUUGGUAAGGUAACGGCUUACCAAGGCAACGAUGCAUAGCCGACCUGAGAGGGUGAUCGGCCACACUGGAACUGAGACACGGUCCAGACUCCUACGGGAGGCAGCAGUAGGGAAUCUUCCGCAAUGGGCGAAAGCCUGACGGAGCAACGCCGCGUGAGUGAUGAAGGUCUUCGGAUCGUAAAACUCUGUUAUUAGGGAAGAACAUAUGUGUAAGUAACUGUGCACAUCUUGACGGUACCUAACCAGAAAGCCACGGCUAACUACGUG